GAUACCAGGGUCAAAAGGUCAGAAGUUCGACGCAAGCUUGCUUGCAGGAGAAUUUUUGACCUUGGGACCCGCACAAACAUGAGUAAGUAGCCAUUUUUCAAGGAAAAAUGAGCGGAUUACGAAUGUUUUGAAGAUUGCGGAAGCACAUAGUGCGGAGCAAUCUGGU
RNAcentral lists this small RNA (166 nucleotides) under human gut metagenome. RNAcentral's name for it is "Clostridiales-1 RNA". It matches the Rfam family "Clostridiales-1 RNA". The record is from RNAcentral.